This 484-nucleotide ribosomal RNA is filed under the name uncultured bacterium. RNAcentral's name for it is "partial 16S ribosomal RNA". It matches the Rfam family "Bacterial small subunit ribosomal RNA", at positions 30 to 507 of the family's 1533-position model. The record is from RNAcentral.
AUUGAACGCUGGCGGCAGGCCUAACACAUGCAAGUCGAGCGGAGGAAGGGAGCUUGCUCCUGGAUUCAGCGGCGGACGGGUGAGUAAUGCCUAGGAAUCUGCCUGGUAGUGGGGGAUAACGUCCGGAAACGGGCGCUAAUACCGCAUACGUCCUGAGGGAGAAAGUGGGGGAUCUUCGGACCUCACGCUAUCAGAUGAGCCUAGGUCGGAUUAGCUAGUUGGUGGGGUAAAGGCCUACCAAGGCGACGAUCCGGAACUGGUCUGAGAGGAUGAUCAGUCACACUGGAACUGAGACACGGUCCAGACUCCUACGGGAGGCAGCAGUGGGGAAUAUUGGACAAUGGGCGAAAGCCUGAUCCAGCCAUGCCGCGUGUGUGAAGAAGGUCUUCGGAUUGUAAAGCACUUUAAGUUGGGAGGAAGGGCAGUAAGUUAAUACCUUGCUGUUUUGACGUUACCAACAGAAUAAGCACCGGCUAACUUCGUG